RNAcentral lists this ribosomal RNA (497 nucleotides) under uncultured bacterium. RNAcentral's name for it is "partial 16S ribosomal RNA". It matches the Rfam family "Bacterial small subunit ribosomal RNA", at positions 28 to 507 of the family's 1533-position model. The record is from RNAcentral.
GAUGAACGCUGGCGGCGUGCCUAAUACAUGCAAGUCGAGCGAACGGACGAUAAGCUUGCUUCUCUGAUGUUUGCGGCGGACGGGUGAGUAACACGUGGAUAACCUACCUAUAAGACUGGGAUAAUUUCGGGAAACCGGAGCUAAUACCGGAUAAUAUUUUGAACCGCAUGGUUCAAAAGUGAAAGACGGCCUUGCUGUCACUUAUAGAUGGAUCCGCGCUGCAUUAGCUAGUUGGUAAGUUAACGGCUUACGAAGGCUACGAUGCAUAGCCGAACUGUGAGUACGGUCGCCCACGUUCGAGCUGAGCCACCGUCCAGUGACCUGAGGGAGGCACCAGUAGCGAAUCUUGCGCAGUGGUCGAGAGCCUGACGGAGCGACGCCGCGUGAGAUGUGAAGGUGUUCGGAUCGGAAAACUCUGUUAUGGGUGAUGAACAUAUUUGUAAGUCGCCGAAGACAUCUUGACGGUACCUGGUCAAAAAGCAACGGCUAACUACGUG